Molecule: ribosomal RNA, 260 nt
Filed under: uncultured bacterium
Lineage: Bacteria
Description: partial 16S ribosomal RNA
Rfam family: Bacterial small subunit ribosomal RNA
Source: RNAcentral
CAAAGAGAAGCGAAGCGGUGACGUGGAGCAAACCUCAGAAAGCCAAUCUCAGUUCGGAUUGUAGGCUGCAACUCGCCUACAUGAAGUUGGAAUCGCUAGUAAUCGCGAAUCAGAAUGUCGCGGUGAAUACGUUCCCGGGUCUUGUACACACCGCCCGUCACACCAUGGGAGCCGGUAAUACCCGAAAUCAGUAGUCCAACCUCGUGAGGACGCUGCCGAAGGUAGGAUUGGCGACUGGGGUGAAGUCGUAACAAGGUACC